Molecule: ribosomal RNA, 440 nt
Filed under: uncultured bacterium
Lineage: Bacteria
Description: partial 16S ribosomal RNA
Rfam family: Bacterial small subunit ribosomal RNA
Source: RNAcentral
CCUACGGUAGGCAGCAGUGGGGAAUAUUGGACAAUGGGGGAAACCCUUAUCCAGCGACGCCGCGUGAGGGAAGAAGGUUUUCGGAUUGUAAACCUCUGUCAGUGGGGACGAUAAUGACGGUACCCACGGAGGAAGCCACGGCUAAACACGUGCCAGCAGCCGCGGUAAUACGUAGGUGGCAAGCGUUGUCCGGAAUUACUGGGGGUAAUGGGAGCGUAGGCGGGAUGUCAAGUCAGAAGUGAAAAUUAUGGGGCUAACUCACAAACUGCUGUUGAAACUGAUAUUCUUGAGUGAAGUAGAGGCAAGCGGAAUGCCUAGUGUAGCGGUGAAAUGCGUAGAUAUUAGGAGGAACACCAGUGGCGAAGGCGGCUUGCUGGGCUUUUACUGACGCUGAGGCUCGAAAGCGUGGGUAGCAAACAGGAUUAGAUACCCGUGUAGUC